This 253-nucleotide ribosomal RNA is filed under the name uncultured bacterium. RNAcentral's name for it is "partial 16S ribosomal RNA". It matches the Rfam family "Bacterial small subunit ribosomal RNA", at positions 524 to 776 of the family's 1533-position model. The record is from RNAcentral.
GACGAACCGUGCGAACGUUGUUCGGAAUCACUGGGCUUAAAGGGCGCGUAGGCGGAUGGUCAAGUCGGUGGUGAAAUCCUUCAGCUCAACUGGAGAAGAGCCGCCGAUACUGAUCGUCUCGAGGAAGGUAGGGGCAUGUGGAACUCAGGGUGGAGCGGUGAAAUGCGUAGAUAUCCUGAGGAACGCCGGUGGCGAAAGCGACGUGCUGGACCUUUUCUGACGCUGAGGCGCGAAAGCCAGGGGAGCGAACGGG